This is a non-coding RNA of Podarcis lilfordi (Lilford's wall lizard), 73 nucleotides long. Lineage: Eukaryota; Metazoa; Chordata; Lepidosauria; Squamata; Lacertidae. The record is from the annotation of a GenBank genome assembly.
GCCCAGAUAGCUCAGUCAGUAGAUCAUGAGACUCUUAAUCUCAGUGUCGUGGGUUCAAGCCCCAUGUUGGGCU